AGGAUAAUAGUUAAAAUAUUAACAUUUAAGUUGCAUUUAAAAAAUAUUGAUUUAUCAAUUUAUCUUA
Molecule: transfer RNA, 67 nt
Filed under: Paleosepharia posticata
Lineage: Eukaryota; Metazoa; Arthropoda; Insecta; Coleoptera; Chrysomelidae
Also listed under: 1 other name
Description: tRNA-Ala
Source: RNAcentral